RNAcentral lists this ribosomal RNA (501 nucleotides) under uncultured bacterium. RNAcentral's name for it is "partial 16S ribosomal RNA". It matches the Rfam family "Bacterial small subunit ribosomal RNA", at positions 30 to 523 of the family's 1533-position model. The record is from RNAcentral.
AUUGAACGCUGGCGGCAUGCCUUACACAUGCAAGUCGAACGGCAGCACGGGUGCUUGCACCUGGUGGCGAGUGGCGAACGGGUGAGUAAUAUAUCGGAACGUACCUUAUUGUGGGGGAUAACGCAGCGAAAGCUGUGCUAAUACCGCAUAAUCCCUAAGGGGGAAAGCGGGGGACCGUAAGGCCUCGCGCAAUUAGAGCGGCCGAUACCUGAUUAGCUAGUUGGUGAGGUAAAGGCUCACCAAGGCAACGAUCAGUAGCUGGUCUGAGAGGACGAGCGGCCACGCGGGGACUGAGACACGGCCCAGACUCCUACGGGGUGCAGCAGUGGGGAAUUUUGGACAAUGGGGGCAACCCUGAUCCAGCAAUGCCGCGUGAGUGAAGAAGGCCUUCGGGUUGUAAAGCUCUUUUGUCAGGGAAGAAACAGCAGCUCUAACACAGUUUGCGAAUGACGGUACCUGAAGAAUAAGCACCGGCUAACUACGUGCCAGCAGCCGCCGUAA